CCUACGGGUGGCAGCAGUGGGGAAUAUUGGACAAUGGGGGGAACCCUGAUCCAGCCAUGCCGCGGGUGUGAAGAAGGCCCUCGGGUUGUAAAGCACUUUCAGUGAGGAAGAACGCCUGGUGGUUAAUACCCAUCAGGAAAGACAUCACUCACAGAAGAAGCACCGGCUAACUCCGUGCCAGCAGCCGCGGUAAUACGGAGGGUGCGAGCGUUAAUCGGAAUUACUGGGCGUAAAGCGCGCGUAGGUGGCUUGAUAAGCCGGUUGUGAAAGCCCCGGGCUCAACCUGGGAACGGCAUCCGGAACUGUCAAGCUAGAGUGCAGGAGAGGAAGGUAGAAUUCCCGGUGUAGCGGUGAAAUGCGUAGAGAUCGGGAGGAAUACCAGUGGCGAAGGCGGCCUUCUGGACUGACACUGACACUGAGGUGCGAAAGCGUGGGUAGCAAACAGGAUUAGAUACCCGAGUAGUC
This 465-nucleotide ribosomal RNA is filed under the name Vreelandella stevensii. Its description in RNAcentral is "partial 16S ribosomal RNA". It matches the Rfam family "Bacterial small subunit ribosomal RNA", at positions 338 to 795 of the family's 1533-position model. The record is from RNAcentral. Lineage: Bacteria; Pseudomonadati; Pseudomonadota; Gammaproteobacteria; Oceanospirillales; Halomonadaceae.